UACGGAGGGUGCGAGCGUUUGUCCGGAAUCACUGGGCGUAAAGGGCGCGUAGGCGGCUCAUGAAGGCUGUGGUGAAAGUCCGGGGCUCAACCUCGGAUCGGCCGUGGCGACUCGUGGGCUGGAGCACUGUAGAGGCGGGUGGAAUUCCGGGUGUAGCGGUGGAAUGCGUAGAGAUCCGGAAGAACACCAGUGGCGAAGGCGGCCCGCUGGGCAGUGGCUGACGCUGAGGCGCGACAGCGUGGGGAGCAAACAGG
This 254-nucleotide ribosomal RNA is filed under the name uncultured bacterium. Its description in RNAcentral is "partial 16S ribosomal RNA". It matches the Rfam family "Bacterial small subunit ribosomal RNA", at positions 524 to 776 of the family's 1533-position model. The record is from RNAcentral.